This 1441-nucleotide ribosomal RNA is filed under the name Lactiplantibacillus plantarum. RNAcentral's name for it is "bacterial SSU rRNA". It matches the Rfam family "Bacterial small subunit ribosomal RNA". Lineage: Bacteria; Bacillati; Bacillota; Bacilli; Lactobacillales; Lactobacillaceae. The record is from RNAcentral.
AUACAUGCAAGUCGAACGAACUCUGGUAUUGAUUGGUGCUUGCAUCAUGAUUUACAUUUGAGUGAGUGGCGAACUGGUGAGUAACACGUGGGAAACCUGCCCAGAAGCGGGGGAUAACACCUGGAAACAGAUGCUAAUACCGCAUAACAACUUGGACCGCAUGGUCCGAGUUUGAAAGAUGGCUUCGGCUAUCACUUUUGGAUGGUCCCGCGGCGUAUUAGCUAGAUGGUGGGGUAACGGCUCACCAUGGCAAUGAUACGUAGCCGACCUGAGAGGGUAAUCGGCCACAUUGGGACUGAGACACGGCCCAAACUCCUACGGGAGGCAGCAGUAGGGAAUCUUCCACAAUGGACGAAAGUCUGAUGGAGCAACGCCGCGUGAGUGAAGAAGGGUUUCGGCUCGUAAAACUCUGUUGUUAAAGAAGAACAUAUCUGAGAGUAACUGUUCAGGUAUUGACGGUAUUUAACCAGAAAGCCACGGCUAACUACGUGCCAGCAGCCGCGGUAAUACGUAGGUGGCAAGCGUUGUCCGGAUUUAUUGGGCGUAAAGCGAGCGCAGGCGGUUUUUUAAGUCUGAUGUGAAAGCCUUCGGCUCAACCGAAGAAGUGCAUCGGAAACUGGGAAACUUGAGUGCAGAAGAGGACAGUGGAACUCCAUGUGUAGCGGUGAAAUGCGUAGAUAUAUGGAAGAACACCAGUGGCGAAGGCGGCUGUCUGGUCUGUAACUGACGCUGAGGCUCGAAAGUAUGGGUAGCAAACAGGAUUAGAUACCCUGGUAGUCCAUACCGUAAACGAUGAAUGCUAAGUGUUUGGAGGGUUUCCGCCCUUCAGUGCUGCAGCUAACGCAUUAAGCAUUCCGCCUGGGGAGUACGGCCGCAAGGCUGAAACUCAAAGGAAUUGACGGGGCCCGCACAAGCGGUGGAGCAUGUGGUUUAAUUCGAAGCUACGCGAAGAACCUUACCAGGUCUUGACAUACUAUGCAAAUCUAAGAGAUUAGACGUUCCCUUCGGGGACAUGGAUACAGGUGGUGCAUGGUUGUCGUCAGCUCGUGUCGUGAGAUGUUGGGUUAAGUCCCGCAACGAGCGCAACCCUUAUUAUCAGUUGCCAGCAUUAAGUUGGGCACUCUGGUGAGACUGCCGGUGACAAACCGGAGGAAGGUGGGGAUGACGUCAAAUCAUCAUGCCCCUUAUGACCUGGGCUACACACGUGCUACAAUGGAUGGUACAACGAGUUGCGAACUCGCGAGAGUAAGCUAAUCUCUUAAAGCCAUUCUCAGUUCGGAUUGUAGGCUGCAACUCGCCUACAUGAAGUCGGAAUCGCUAGUAAUCGCGGAUCAGCAUGCCGCGGUGAAUACGUUCCCGGGCCUUGUACACCCCGCCCGUCACACCAUGAGAGUUUGUAACACCCAAAGUCGGUGGGGUAACCUUUUAGGAACCAGCCGCU